GGGGUUGUAGCUCAGCUGGGAGAGCGCUUGAAUGGCAUUCAAGAGGUCGGGGGUUCGACUCCCCCCAGCUCCACCA
This 76-nucleotide transfer RNA is filed under the name Syntrophobacterales bacterium. RNAcentral describes it as "tRNA-Ala". It matches the Rfam family "tRNA". From Rfam's summary of the family: Transfer RNA (tRNA) molecules are approximately 80 nucleotides in length. The record is from RNAcentral. Lineage: Bacteria; Pseudomonadati; Thermodesulfobacteriota; Syntrophobacteria; Syntrophobacterales.